GCUUGUGUAGCUCAGCAGGUAGAGUACUUCCUUGGUAAGGAAGGGGUCACCGGUUCGAAUCCGGUCACAAGCU
This 73-nucleotide transfer RNA is filed under the name Pseudomonadota bacterium. RNAcentral's name for it is "Proteobacteria bacterium (gut metagenome) tRNA-Thr". It matches the Rfam family "tRNA". Rfam says of the family: Transfer RNA (tRNA) molecules are approximately 80 nucleotides in length. Their secondary structure includes four short double-helical elements and three loops (D, anti-codon, and T loops). RNAcentral also lists the same sequence under 1 other name. The record is from RNAcentral. Lineage: Bacteria; Pseudomonadati; Pseudomonadota.